This 253-nucleotide ribosomal RNA is filed under the name uncultured bacterium. Its description in RNAcentral is "partial 16S ribosomal RNA". It matches the Rfam family "Bacterial small subunit ribosomal RNA", at positions 524 to 776 of the family's 1533-position model. The record is from RNAcentral.
UACGUAGGUGGCAAGCGUUGUCCGGAAUUAUUGGGCGUAAAGCGCGCGCAGGCGGUCCUUUAAGUCUGAUGUGAAAGCCCACGGCUCAACCGUGGAAGGUCAUUGGAAACUGGAGGACUUGAGUACAGAAGAGGAAAGCGGAAUUCCACGUGUAGCGGUGAAAUGCGUAGAGAUGUGGAGGAACACCAGUGGCGAAGGCGGCUUUCUGGUCUGUAACUGACGCUGAGGCGCGAAAGCGUGGGGAGCAAACAGG